This 253-nucleotide ribosomal RNA is filed under the name uncultured bacterium. RNAcentral describes it as "partial 16S ribosomal RNA". It matches the Rfam family "Bacterial small subunit ribosomal RNA", at positions 524 to 776 of the family's 1533-position model. The record is from RNAcentral.
UACGUAGGAGGCGAGCGUUGUCCGGAUUUACUGGGCGUAAAGGGCGCGUAGGCGGCCCCCUGAGUCCCGCGUGAAAUCUCCCGGCUCAACCGGGAGGGUGCGCGGGAUACUGGGGGGCUGGAGGGCAUCAGAGGGAAGCGGAAUCCCCGGUGUAGUGGUGAAAUGCGUAGAUAUCGGGGGGAACACCAGUGGCGAAGGCGGCUUCCUGGGGUGUACCUGACGCUGAGGCGCGAAAGCGUGGGGAGCGAACCGG